RNAcentral lists this ribosomal RNA (256 nucleotides) under uncultured bacterium. RNAcentral's name for it is "partial 16S ribosomal RNA". It matches the Rfam family "Bacterial small subunit ribosomal RNA", at positions 524 to 777 of the family's 1533-position model. The record is from RNAcentral.
CACGUAGGGGCCAAGCGUUGUCCGGAUUCAUUGGGCGUAAAGAGCUCGUAGGCGGUUCAGUUAGUCGGGUGUGAAAUCUCCGGGCUCAACCCGGAGGGGCCACCCGAUACUGCUGUGACUUGAGUCCGGUAGGGGAGUGGGGAAUUCUCGGUGUAGAGGUGAAAUUCGUAGAUAUCGAGAGGAACACCGGUGGCGAAGGCGGCCAACUGGACAGAUACUGACGCUGAGAACUCGAAAGCGUGGGGAGCAAACAGGA